UACAGAGGUCUCAAGCGUUGUUCGGAUUCAUUGGGCGUAAGGGGCGCGUAGGCGGCGGGGUAAGUCGGGUGUGAAAUCUCAGAGCUCAACUCUGAAACUGCACUCGAUACUGCUCUGCUUGAGGACUGGAGAGGAGACUGGAAUUCACGGUGUAGCAGUGAAAUGCGUAGAUAUCGUGAGGAAGACCAGUGGCGAAGGCGGGUCUCUGGACAGUUCCUGACGCUGAGGCGCGAAGGCCAGGGGAGCAAACGGG
Molecule: ribosomal RNA, 253 nt
Filed under: uncultured bacterium
Lineage: Bacteria
Description: partial 16S ribosomal RNA
Rfam family: Bacterial small subunit ribosomal RNA
Source: RNAcentral